ACGGGAGGCAGCAGUGGGGAAUAUUGCACAAUGGGGGAAACCCUGAUGCAGCGACGCCGCGUGAGUGAAGAAGUAUUUCGGUAUGUAAAGCUCUAUCAGCAGGGAAGAUAAUGACGGUACCUGACUAAGAAGCCCCGGCUAACUACGUGCCAGCAGCCGCGGUAAUACGUAGGGGGCAAGCGUUAUCCGGAUUUACUGGGUGUAAAGGGUGCGUAGGUGGCAAGGCAAGUCAGAUGUGAAAGCCCGGGGCUCAACCCCGGUAUUGCAUUUGAAACUGUCUAGCUAGAGUGCAGGAGAGGUAAGUGGAAUUCCUAGUGUAGCGGUGAAAUGCGUAGAUAUUAGGAGGAACACCAGUGGCGAAGGCGGCUUACUGGACUGUAACUGACACUGAGGCACGAAAGCGUGGGGAGCAAACAGGAUUAGAUACCCUGGUA
Molecule: ribosomal RNA, 434 nt
Filed under: uncultured Lachnospiraceae bacterium
Lineage: Bacteria; Bacillati; Bacillota; Clostridia; Lachnospirales; Lachnospiraceae
Description: bacterial SSU rRNA
Rfam family: Bacterial small subunit ribosomal RNA
Source: RNAcentral